This 253-nucleotide ribosomal RNA is filed under the name uncultured bacterium. RNAcentral's name for it is "partial 16S ribosomal RNA". It matches the Rfam family "Bacterial small subunit ribosomal RNA", at positions 524 to 776 of the family's 1533-position model. The record is from RNAcentral.
UACGUAGGGUGCGAGCGUUGUCCGGAUUUAUUGGGCGUAAAGAGCUCGUAGGCGGUCUGUCGCGUCGGCUGUGAAAACCCGGGGCUCAACCCCGGGCCUGCAGUCGAUACGGGCAGACUAGAGUGCGGUAGGGGAGACUGGAAUUCCUGGUGUAGCGGUGAAAUGCGCAGAUAUCAGGAGGAACACCGGUGGCGAAGGCGGGUCUCUGGGCCGUAACUGACGCUGAGGAGCGAAAGCGUGGGGAGCGAACAGG